RNAcentral lists this ribosomal RNA (460 nucleotides) under uncultured bacterium. Its description in RNAcentral is "partial 16S ribosomal RNA". It matches the Rfam family "Bacterial small subunit ribosomal RNA", at positions 338 to 795 of the family's 1533-position model. The record is from RNAcentral.
CCUACGGGUGGCAGCAGUGAGGAAUAUUGGUCAAUGGACGAGAGUCUGAACCAGCCAAGUAGCGUGAAGGAUGACUGCCCUAUGGGUUGUAAACUUCUUUUAUAUGGGAAUAAAAUGUUCCACGUGUGGGCUUUUGUAUGUACCAUAUGAAUAAGGAUCGGCUAACUCCGUGCCAGCAGCCGCGGUAAUACGGAGGAUCCGAGCGUUAUCCGGAUUUAUUGGGUUUAAAGGGAGCGUAGGUGGAUUGUUAAGUUAGUGGUGAAAGGUUGGGGCUCAACCGUGAAAUUGCAGUUGAUACUGGCAGUCUUGAGUGCAGUAGAGGUAGGCGGAAUGCGUGGUGUAGCGGUGAAAUGCUUAGAGAUCACGAAGAACUCCGAUUGCGAAGGCAGCUCACUGGACUGCAACUGACGCUGAGGCUCGAAAGUGUGGGUAUCAAACAGGAUUAGAUACCCGGGUAGUC